This 276-nucleotide ribosomal RNA is filed under the name Triticum aestivum (bread wheat). RNAcentral's name for it is "partial small subunit ribosomal RNA". The record is from RNAcentral. Lineage: Eukaryota; Viridiplantae; Streptophyta; Magnoliopsida; Poales; Poaceae.
CGAGCCAAAUUCCACAAAAAGUUCCAAAUGAGAGGUCUCAUUUGGAACUGUCGAGGGGUGGGCGAGAAAGGGAUGGCCACCUGCCUCUCAGACAUGAUCAAUGACCAUUCCCUUGACUUCCUGGGUCUGCAAGAAACUAUAAAGAAGGAAUUCACACCUAAGCGUUUGAGAAGAAUUGACCCUUUUGACAUUUUCCAGUGGAACUGGGUGUUGGGGAACGUAGUAGAAAUUCAAAAUUUUCUACGCAACACCAAGAUCUAUCUAUGGAGAGACUAG